This 274-nucleotide ribosomal RNA is filed under the name uncultured bacterium. Its description in RNAcentral is "partial 16S ribosomal RNA". It matches the Rfam family "Bacterial small subunit ribosomal RNA", at positions 523 to 796 of the family's 1533-position model. The record is from RNAcentral.
AUACGGGGGGGGCGAGCGUUGUCCGGAAUCAUUGGGCGUAAAGGGUGAGUAGGCGGGAUGGUAAGUCAGAGGUGAAAGUCCAGGGCUCAACUCUGGAUCUGCCUCUGAUACUGCUGUCCUUGAGUGCGGGAGAGGGAGGUGGAAUUCCCGGUGUAGCGGUGAAAUGCGUAGAUAUCGGGAAGAACACCAGUGGCGAAGGCGGCUUCCUGGCCCGCAACUGACGCUGAAUCACGAAAGCGUGGGGAGCAAACAGGAUUAGAAACCCUAGUAGUCC